GACGAACGCUGGCGGCGUGCUUAACACAUGCAAGUCGAACGAUGAAGCCCAGCUUGCUGGGUGGAAGAGUGGCGAACGGGUGAGUAACACGUGAGUAACCUGCCCUGAACUCUGGGAUAAGCACUGGAAACGGUGUCUAAUACUGGAUACGACCUAUCACCGCAUGGUGUGUGGGUGGAAAGAUUUAUCGGUUCUGGAUGGACUCGCGGCCUAUCAGCUGGAUGGUGAGGUAAUGGCUCACCAUGGCGACGACGGGUAGCCGGCCUGAGAGGGUGACCGGCCACACUGGGACUGAGACACGGCCCAGACUCCUACGGGAGGCAGCAGUGGGGAAUAUUGCACAAUGGGCGCAAGCCUGAUGCAGCAACGCCGCGUGAGGGAUGACGGCCUUCGGGUUGUAAACCUCUUUUAGUAGGGAAGAAGCGAAAGUGACGGUACCUGCAGAAAAAGCACCGGCUAACUACGUG
RNAcentral lists this ribosomal RNA (467 nucleotides) under uncultured bacterium. RNAcentral's name for it is "partial 16S ribosomal RNA". It matches the Rfam family "Bacterial small subunit ribosomal RNA", at positions 28 to 507 of the family's 1533-position model. The record is from RNAcentral.